GGGCGAUUAGCUCAGCUGGCAGAGCGCCUCGUUUACACCGAGGAAGUCGGCGGUUCGAGCCCGUCAUCGCCCACCA
This 76-nucleotide transfer RNA is filed under the name Alphaproteobacteria bacterium. RNAcentral describes it as "tRNA-Val". It matches the Rfam family "tRNA". From Rfam's summary of the family: Transfer RNA (tRNA) molecules are approximately 80 nucleotides in length. Their secondary structure includes four short double-helical elements and three loops (D, anti-codon, and T loops). Further hydrogen bonds mediate the characteristic L-shaped molecular structure. tRNAs have two regions of fundamental functional importance: the anti-codon, which is responsible for specific mRNA codon recognition, and the 3' end, to which the tRNAs corresponding amino acid is attached (by aminoacyl-tRNA synthetases). tRNAs cope with the degeneracy of the genetic code in two manners: having more than one tRNA (with a specific anti-codon) for a particular amino acid; and 'wobble' base-pairing, i.e. permitting non-standard base-pairing at the 3rd anti-codon position. The record is from RNAcentral. Lineage: Bacteria; Pseudomonadati; Pseudomonadota; Alphaproteobacteria.